Molecule: long non-coding RNA, 253 nt
Filed under: Manihot esculenta (cassava)
Lineage: Eukaryota; Viridiplantae; Streptophyta; Magnoliopsida; Malpighiales; Euphorbiaceae
Description: long non-coding RNA (MESC_LNC010872)
Source: RNAcentral
CCACUAUUUGAGGACUUGUAUGUGAUUUUAAGGUUAUUUCUGCCCUUAUGACGCCUUUCUAUUUUCAUUGCUUUAUCAACCAUAUCCUCCAUGGUAUUGUAUUGGUACAUGUCAAGUUCUUCAGCAAUGUAGUGGUUAAGACCACCUAGAAACCUGGACAUCAACAUUUGCUCAUCCUCCUCAAUAUGAGCCCGAGCCAUCAUCAUCUCCAUCUCCUUAUGGUAUUGUUCCACACUCUUUCCUCCUUGCACCA